GCGGAGGUGCCAGAGCGGAAAAUGGGUAUGGCUAAGGACCAUAUGGCUUAGUGCCUACGCAGGUUCAAAUCCUGUCCUCCGCA
This 83-nucleotide transfer RNA is filed under the name Nanobdellota archaeon. RNAcentral describes it as "tRNA-Leu". It matches the Rfam family "tRNA". From Rfam's summary of the family: Transfer RNA (tRNA) molecules are approximately 80 nucleotides in length. Their secondary structure includes four short double-helical elements and three loops (D, anti-codon, and T loops). Lineage: Archaea; Nanobdellati; Nanobdellota. The record is from RNAcentral.